GGACAGCUAGUACUAACUUUUAAUGAAAAAAAUAAUUAUCUUGACUCAAAAAAUCAGAAGACUUUAGUGCACUGUAUUAUUGAGAAAUAUAUUGGCACAAGAUCCAAAUUAACAUACGCAGAAAUGCAGCAAUGGUCUUAUGCUAUCUGUGAUGUAUUUCCUAAAGAAAAACCGGAAACAUACUUUUUGAAACGGAAAGACGGGAAGAAAAAUCCAACAGGAAAAUUAUUUUCUCGUUGGACUAAUGUUGAAAAAGGAAAAUUCGAUGACUAUAGUGGCAGUACUGCGGAGGAAACUUUUAAAGAUUUUGAUAGCGAUAAAUAUUUCGAGCAAAAGUGCUGGCUGCAGCACAAUUGCAGUCCAAGGGAUCAGGUACUUUCAUUCUGGAGGGAAACAAGGAAAAUUAGAAUGGAUGAGAUAAAAAAUGCCAGUUCUUUGACGAAUAUUUUUAAAGAAUGGCCACGAUACAAUGAUUUCUUGGGUUAUGAUCUUGUCGAUAUAGAUUUUGAUUUUUUGUACCCAGACAAAGUAAAUAAGUUAUUCCUAAAGUUGGAAACUUUUUAUAAAAAGUUGGUUAAAGUCUUUGACAAUGAAAUUAAAGACCGUGCAUCAAGAGAAUUUUACCUACACU
Long non-coding RNA from Calliphora vicina (urban bluebottle blowfly), 631 nucleotides. RefSeq lists it as uncharacterized. NCBI's taxonomy places the organism in Eukaryota, Metazoa, Arthropoda, Insecta, Diptera, Calliphoridae. The transcript is spliced from 4 exons. The record is from RefSeq and is a predicted model, not a curated record.